RNAcentral lists this long non-coding RNA (527 nucleotides) under Brassica napus (rape). Its description in RNAcentral is "long non-coding RNA (BNAP_LNC004851)". Lineage: Eukaryota; Viridiplantae; Streptophyta; Magnoliopsida; Brassicales; Brassicaceae. The record is from RNAcentral.
AGGCAUUGUGUUUGUUUCUGCGGUCUGUGUUCUUUUAGCAUGCCUGAAACUCAAAAAGCGUCCAGGUUAGAGUGUUCUUUACUCUUGCUUGAGAUUUUUCCUUUUAUAAUAAUUUGUUUGCUUCUUAAAUCAUUGCCUUAGGAGAACCAAAGAAAGAUAGAAGUGUAGAGCAGUUGUUAAAGAGAAUGGAAGAAGUUAACAGUGGUGAUGAGGCUGCUUCUAACCAAGUUAAGCUAGAGGAGCUUCCGCUCUUUGAGUUCCAAGUGUUAGCUACAGCAACUGAUGACUUCUCUCUCAGAAGCAAGCUCGGACAAGGCGGAUUUGGUCCUGUUUACAAGGUAAAGGCACUAAACAAAACACUUUCUGAAAAGAGAUUUUUCUAUACAAUCUCAUAUCAAUAUUUUUUUUUUCUUCAGGGAAAGUUACCUGAAGGGCAAGAAAUAGCAGUGAAGAGGCUCUCAAGGGCAUCAGGACAAGGACUUGAGGAGCUUAUGAACGAAGUGGUUGUGAUCUCCAAGUUGCAACAU